Molecule: transfer RNA, 96 nt
Filed under: Mycolicibacterium phlei
Lineage: Bacteria; Bacillati; Actinomycetota; Actinomycetes; Mycobacteriales; Mycobacteriaceae
Also listed under: 1 other name
Description: tRNA-Cys(gca)
Source: RNAcentral
CGGGUUGUACACCACGCAGUCGGGUUUCAGCGCCAGCAGCGCGUCGACGUCGUCGGUCGCGGUGACACCGAGCGGUUCGAUGCCGCACAACUCGCC